RNAcentral lists this ribosomal RNA (570 nucleotides) under uncultured Arcobacter sp. Its description in RNAcentral is "bacterial SSU rRNA". It matches the Rfam family "Bacterial small subunit ribosomal RNA", at positions 69 to 659 of the family's 1533-position model. The record is from RNAcentral. Lineage: Bacteria; Pseudomonadati; Campylobacterota; Epsilonproteobacteria; Campylobacterales; Arcobacteraceae.
AGAUUCUUGCUUUAUUUGUCAGCUAAGUGGCGCACGGGUGAGUAAUGUAUAGGUAAUAUGCCUCUUACUAAGGGAUAACAAAUGGAAACGUUUGCUAAUACCUUAUACUCCUUAUUAACAGAAGUUAAUAAGGGAAAGAUUUAUUGGUAAGAGAUUAGCCUGUAUUGUAUCAGUUAGUUGGUGGGGUAAUGGCUUACCAAGACUAUGACACAUAACUGGUUUGAGAGGAUGAUCAGUCACACUGGAACUGAGACACGGUCCAGACUCCUACGGGAGGCAGCAGUGGGGAAUAUUGCACAAUGGACGAAAGUCUGAUGCAGCAACGCCGCGUGGAGGAUGACACAUUUCGGUGCGUAAACUCCUUUUAUAUGAGAAGAUAAUGACGGUAUUAUAUGAAUAAGCACCGGCUAACUCCGUGCCAGCAGCCGCGGUAAUACGGGGGGUGCAAGCGUUACUCGGAAUCACUGGGCGUAAAGAGCAUGUAGGCGGAUUAAUAAGUUUGAAGUGAAAUCCUAUAGCUUAACUAUAGAACUGCUUUGAAAACUGUUAAUCUAGAAUGUGGGAGAGGUA